Molecule: ribosomal RNA, 442 nt
Filed under: uncultured Bacillus sp.
Lineage: Bacteria; Bacillati; Bacillota; Bacilli; Caryophanales; Bacillaceae
Description: bacterial SSU rRNA
Rfam family: Bacterial small subunit ribosomal RNA
Source: RNAcentral
GCGGCGGACGGGUGAGUAACGCGUGGGUAACAGCCUGUAAGACUGGGAUAACUCCGGGAAACCGGGGCUAAUACCGGAUGGUUGCUGAACCGCAUGGUUGAAACAUAAAAGGUGGCUUCGGCUACCACUUACAGAUGGGCCCGCGGCGCAUUAGCUAGUUGGUGAGGUAACGGCUCACCAAGGCAACGAUGCGUAGCCGACCUGAGAGGAUGAUCGGCCACACUGGGACUGAGACACGGCCCAGACUCCUACGGGAGGCAGCAGUAGGGAAUCUUCCGCAAUGGACGAAAGUCUGACGGAGCAACGCCGCGUGAGUGAUGAAGGUUUUCGGAUCGUAAAGCUCUGUUGUUAGGGAAGAACAAGUGCCGUUCGAAUAGGGGGGCACCUUGACGGUACCUCACCAGAAAGCCACGACUAACUACGUGCCAGCAGCCGCGGUAAU